Molecule: small nuclear RNA, 107 nt
Organism: Peromyscus eremicus (cactus mouse)
Lineage: Eukaryota; Metazoa; Chordata; Mammalia; Rodentia; Cricetidae
Source: RefSeq, a predicted model, not a curated record
GUGCUUGCUUUGGCAGCACAUCCACUAAAACCAGAACAAUAUAGAGAAGAUUAGCAUGGCCCCUGAGCAAGGAUGACAUGCAAAUCCUUGCAAAGUUCCAUAUUGUU